GCCAGUAUGGUAUAGUGGUUUGAAUAUUGGACUAUUACUCUGAGGACCAUGGUUUGAAUCCCUGCUCAGCCA
This is a non-coding RNA of Phrynosoma platyrhinos (Desert horned lizard), 72 nucleotides long. NCBI's taxonomy places the organism in Eukaryota, Metazoa, Chordata, Lepidosauria, Squamata, Phrynosomatidae. The record is from the annotation of a GenBank genome assembly.